Molecule: ribosomal RNA, 37 nt
Filed under: Ulocladium sp. AM-2006b
Lineage: Eukaryota; Fungi; Ascomycota; Dothideomycetes; Pleosporales; Pleosporaceae
Description: partial 18S ribosomal RNA
Source: RNAcentral
UCCGUAGUGAACCUGCGGAGGGAUCAUUACACAAUAU